Molecule: small RNA, 124 nt
Filed under: Marmota monax (woodchuck)
Lineage: Eukaryota; Metazoa; Chordata; Mammalia; Rodentia; Sciuridae
Source: RNAcentral
GCAGGGCAUGGUGGCACAUGCCUGUAAUCCCAGCUAAUGGGAGGCUGAGGCAGGAGAAGCACAAGUUCAAAGCCAGCCUCAGCAAAAGCAAGGUGCUAAGCAACUCAGUGAGACCCUGUCUCUA